Molecule: ribosomal RNA, 246 nt
Filed under: uncultured Flavobacteriales bacterium
Lineage: Bacteria; Pseudomonadati; Bacteroidota; Flavobacteriia; Flavobacteriales
Description: partial 16S ribosomal RNA
Rfam family: Bacterial small subunit ribosomal RNA
Source: RNAcentral
GGAGAAACCGGCGCACGGGUGCGUAACGCGUAUGCAACCUACCUUUCACAGGGGGAUAGCCCGAAGAAAUUUGGAUUAAUACCCCAUAAUAUUAUUGGAUGGCAUCAUUUGAUAAUUAAAACUGCGGUGGUGAAAGAUGGGCAUGCGUCCUAUUAGCUAGUUGGAGUGGUAACGGCACCCCAAGGCUACGAUAGGUAGGGGUCCUGAGAGGGAGAUCCCCCACACUGGUACUGAGACAGGGACCAG